GCUCUAUCUCCCCUUCGUCCACUGUUUCUGCCGCCGCCUUUUCUGUGCCGCCGCCGGUGUGGCUUCCUCCGUCCCCAACUGCUUCUCUUCCCUUAGUCGACUUCUUCUCCGUCCGUACGAAUGGCCAAAGCCACGACUCGAUCUCCACCUCUCGGCCUCUUGCUCGGAACAGGGCGGCCGAGGCUGUCCCCAUCGUCGCGUGUUUCUUCUCCGGCCCACGGCCGUCGUCUCCCUCUUCCUUGAGUUCUGACAAAGCAGCUGCCGAUCUCACCAAAUUCCUCCAUCACCAUCUUCGUUCUUCUUCUUCGCUCGAUUCCGGCGAACGCGCCCUCGCGCCGCUUGACCUCCCUCGGCCCUUGUCCUCUCAGAUCUGGGCAGACGGCACCGCCACCGCUCUGCCUCACCUCCAAAUACCCACACUCGGUCAGAAAACUCACGGACGCCAGGUCCGCCGCCUCUCCUUCCCCAACGAUGAACCGUUCUCGCUGGGAUUUGGAGAAAGGCUGGCUGGAAUUGGGGGUAAGGUAGCAAAGGCGGC
This 538-nucleotide long non-coding RNA is filed under the name Salvia miltiorrhiza (redroot sage). RNAcentral's name for it is "long non-coding RNA (SMIL_LNC002057)". Lineage: Eukaryota; Viridiplantae; Streptophyta; Magnoliopsida; Lamiales; Lamiaceae. The record is from RNAcentral.